Molecule: ribosomal RNA, 471 nt
Filed under: Triticum aestivum (bread wheat)
Lineage: Eukaryota; Viridiplantae; Streptophyta; Magnoliopsida; Poales; Poaceae
Description: partial small subunit ribosomal RNA
Source: RNAcentral
AUGUCACUCUGGAAAGAUGGAUGGCCGCCGUUACCGGAAACAAGGAUAACCCACGCGGAGCUAGAAGGAUUCCUCCACUCGACCACAACAGUGAUCCAAACAAGGUAUGCCUGCUCUACUCUCCACUGUGUUCUUGCCAUAUUCAUUUCUGUUUAUUCUGCCAAUUGGUCGAUUGAUCCUUGUCUUGGUGUCUAUCAGGCCCUCACCGAGCUGUACUCGAUGCCCAAUGGAGCACAGGCUCCGACUGAGGAGGAUGAGGCGAGUGGGGGCGAGAGCCAGGAGGAGGAGGAAUGGGACUCGGACGUUGCUGAAGAUGAUGAUGACGAUGACGACGAUGACGAUGAUGAAGAUGAUGCUGAAGACGAGGAAGAAGAGGAGGAGGAGGUCGUACCACCGCGCUCAGAAAGGCGGUCGAAGCUUGUCCACGACCCUUCGACUGAACGUGGCAAGGGGGUUGCGACCGUUGCAUAG